CCUCCACCCCAGCAAUGAGCAGAACCCCAAAUCCUCACUGCACAGCUUCUCAGGGAUUACAGCAGCCUGCAAUUCCCACUCUGGACCUGAUUUCCCAAAAAUCCACCUCGUUUUUCCCCAAGAGUGCAGAAUAACAAAAGCCUUCCAGGAGCAGAGCUGAUGGCAAAGCUCCUGUGCCCCUGAGCACGAAGAGGAUCCCUAGAGCAGCAGCCCACCAGCUCCAGCAGGAGCUCAGAAGCACAAACUUCUACCAGCACGUUUCAGACAGACCCGAGGACGCUUUAAUUAACACUUUAAUUACCAUCAACUCACCUACAACACCUCCCGCCAGGGGACAGAAACUCUGACCCUCAGCAGCACAGAGCCUCUGGACCCCUCCAAACCUGCACCUUCCCAGGCUGAGAAUAAUUCGGGAAUAAUCCCCGGGAAAAACAGAAUUCCAAAGCAAGCACGGUGGCCGUGAGGAUCCCGGAGCAGGGCACGGCGCUGCCCGAGCUCUCGGGCUCCCCGGGCAUCGCCCCCGGUGCCCGCAGCUCCAGCGCCACGUGCCCGGGGCUCCGAGAGACGGCACCGGGCAGCGGCACGGCCGGGAGCGGCGGCAAGGGCACCGAGAGGGGCAGGACGGGAACCGGA
Onychostruthus taczanowskii (white-rumped snowfinch) is the source of this 633-nucleotide long non-coding RNA. RefSeq lists it as uncharacterized. The record is from RefSeq and is a predicted model, not a curated record. NCBI's taxonomy places the organism in Eukaryota, Metazoa, Chordata, Aves, Passeriformes, Passeridae. The transcript has 3 exons.